CCUCCAUUAAACCCCCUGUAACUGUUCCCAAGCUACCCGUUCCUCCAGUGACUGUUCCCAAGCUACCCGUUCCUCCAGUGACUGUCCCUAAGCUUCCAGUUCCUCCGGUGACAGUUCCGAAGCUACCUGUUCCUCCAGUGACCGUACCUAAGCUUCCAGUUCCUCCGGUGACAGUCCCAAAGCUACCUGUACCUCCAGUGACCGUCCCAGAACUACCACUUCCUCCGGUAGGAGGGCUACCCAUACCUCCGGUGGGAGGGCUACCCAUACCUCCGGUGGGAGGGCUACCCAUACCUCCGGUGGGAGGGCUACCCAUACCUCCGGUUGGAGGCCUACCCACAUUGCCACUGCCACCAUUGCCGAUUGUGGGUCCUCUUCUUCCUCCGGGGACAAACCCUCCUACUCCAGGAGGAAAAGAUUGCC
RNAcentral lists this long non-coding RNA (423 nucleotides) under Brassica napus (rape). RNAcentral's name for it is "long non-coding RNA (BNAP_LNC007359)". Lineage: Eukaryota; Viridiplantae; Streptophyta; Magnoliopsida; Brassicales; Brassicaceae. The record is from RNAcentral.